GAUGAACGCUGGCGGUGUGCCUAACACAUGCAAGUCGAGCGAACACACGAUGAGCUCUUUCUUUUGCCGUUAGCGACUGACGGGUGAGUAACACGUGCAUAACCUUCUUCUUUUUCUGGGAUAAUUUCGUGAAACCGCUGCCACUACUGGCUAAUACAUUCUACCGGUUGGUUCAAUAGUUCUUGAUGGCUUUGCUGUUACUUAUAGCCGAAUUCGCGCCGGAUUAGCUAGUUGGUAAGGUAACGGCGUACCAAGGCGACGAUGCGUAGCCGGUCUGAGAGGGUGAUCAGCCACACUGGAACUGAGACACGGUCCAGACUCCUACGGGAGGCAGCAGUAGGGAAUCUUGCACAAUGGGCGAAAGCCUGACGGAGCAACACCGCGUGAGUGAUGAAGGUCUUCGGGUCGUAAAACUCUGUUAUUAGGAAAGAAAAGAAGUAGAAGAAACUAUAGACGUCUUGACGGUACCUAAACAAAAAGCCACGGCUAACUACGUG
This 497-nucleotide ribosomal RNA is filed under the name uncultured bacterium. RNAcentral describes it as "partial 16S ribosomal RNA". It matches the Rfam family "Bacterial small subunit ribosomal RNA", at positions 28 to 507 of the family's 1533-position model. The record is from RNAcentral.